UGGUACUUAUGUAGUGGGCAUACACUGU
Molecule: small RNA, 28 nt
Filed under: Bombyx mori (domestic silkworm)
Lineage: Eukaryota; Metazoa; Arthropoda; Insecta; Lepidoptera; Bombycidae
Description: ovarian small RNA-35095
Source: RNAcentral